UACGGAGGGUGCAAGCGUUGCUCGGAAUUAUUGGGCGUAAAGGGUAGGUAGGUGGUCUCAUUUGUCUGAGGUGAAAGCCUUGAGCUUAACUCAAGAAGUGCCUCAGAAACGGUGAGACUAGAGUCCUGGAGAGGGUCGUGGAAUUCCCGGUGUAGCGGUGAAAUGCGUAGAGAUCGGGAGGAACACCAGAGGCGAAGGCGGCGACCUGGACAGGUACUGACACUCAACUACGAAAGCGUGGGGAGCAAACAGG
Molecule: ribosomal RNA, 253 nt
Filed under: uncultured bacterium
Lineage: Bacteria
Description: partial 16S ribosomal RNA
Rfam family: Bacterial small subunit ribosomal RNA
Source: RNAcentral